AUACGGAGGGUGCAAGCGUUAUUCGGAAUCACUGGGCGUAAAGGACGCGUAGGCGGGUUGGCAAGUCAGAUGUGAAAUCCUACAGCUUAACUGUAGAACUGCAUUUGAAACUGCUAACCUAGAGUAUGGGAGGGGGAGAUGGAAUUAGUGGUGUAGGGGUAAGAUCCGUAGAUAUCACUAGGAAUACCGAAAGCGAAGGCGAUCUCCUGGAACAUAACUGACGCUAAGGCGUGAAAGCGUGUGGAGCAAACAGGAUUAGAUACCCCAGUAGUCC
This 274-nucleotide ribosomal RNA is filed under the name uncultured bacterium. RNAcentral describes it as "partial 16S ribosomal RNA". It matches the Rfam family "Bacterial small subunit ribosomal RNA", at positions 523 to 796 of the family's 1533-position model. The record is from RNAcentral.